Carassius carassius (crucian carp) is the source of this 1400-nucleotide long non-coding RNA. RefSeq lists it as uncharacterized. The record is from RefSeq and is a predicted model, not a curated record. The transcript has 5 exons. Lineage: Eukaryota; Metazoa; Chordata; Actinopteri; Cypriniformes; Cyprinidae.
UACACUAAUUUCAGGUAAAUUUAAUCCCUAAAUUACACAAAUAUUACAUAAAAGUGUCCCUGAAACUUUCUUUCAUGUAAAUGACACGCUUUCGUUGAAAAUGUACUUUAUAGAAAUGGUUAGUGUCUUCAGAAAAAGUCUGUUAGCAUCUCAACCGUAAUGCUAACUACAAGAGUUAUUUUGAUGUCCACACUAUUGUUUAUGUUCUAGAUUCUUCCAUGCUGAUGGCCGUGCGUGUAUCCAGCUGAAGAACAUUUUUAGACAUUAUGACACAUAUGACUAAGUUUAGCUCCAACCCCAGUGAAGCAGACCUGAGCAGCUGAUGAAGGAUCAGCAGAAACUCUGCAGAACGGUGGUCCUCCAGCCCAGGACUGGACACCAGUGUUAUGCUGGAGAUAAAACAGCGAGGCUAAAGCAUUCAAAGUGGAAACAUCUGGCGUGGUUCAUUAAUCCAGAAUUGGGAUGGAGGAAGGAGCAGAAGAAGCAGAAGAACAGAGAUCAGGCAGAGAUCUACUGGUGCCCAUUUACCAAAUGUGUUAGUUAAACCAAAGAGUUUCCUAUCUCACCUUCAUGUUGUUCCAAGCCAGACUUUUGUUCAUCUUUGAAACAUAAAUGCAGAACUUUUUAAUGAAAUCUGAGAAAUGUUUUUAUUUAUAAAAUAACGCAUUCACAAGAGCACCAUGAUGCAUCAGUGUUGCAUUGGCGUGAGAGCUGGCGCUUUUGCUGCUUUUGUGAAAAUCCAUUGAGGAUUCAUAAUUUCUGAAUAGAUUUUUUUUUUGCUGUUAUUGUUGUUUUUUGCGUACACAAGACAUCUGUUAAAAAAAUAUCUUAAUUUGUGUUGUGCACAAAGGGUGUUAUGGGUUUGGGGCAACAUGAGGGUAAGUAAUCAAUGACAGAAUUUACAUUUUUGGUUGUUCUAAUGUGGUUAUUAUUGGUCAUAGUUUAUUGUCGUGAAAAAUUAUAUUUAUACAGAAAGAUGGAUUAAUUUGAUAAGUUUAUAGUAAAGACUUUUAAAUUGAUAAAAAAAAUCAAAAUAAAUACUACUCUUUUGCAAGGUCUAUUAAAACAAUACUGAUAAAUGUAAUGGUUUCCACAAAAUAUUGUGCAGCACAACUGUUUUAAACAUUGAUAAUAAUCAGAAAUGUUUCUUGAGCAGCAAAUCAGUAUAUUAUAAUGAUUUCUGAAGAUCAUGUAACACUGAAGACUGGAGUAAUUGUGUUAAAAAUACAGUUUACAAGCAUAAAUUACAUUUUACAAUGCAUCCACAUAGAAAACAAUUAUGUAUGUAGUUAUAUUUCACAAUAUCACUGUUUUUACGGUCUGUUUAAUCAAAGGAGGUUUAAGAUGUGAUCAAGAAUUUACAUGAAAGAUGUAAUGUGUCAAUAAAUGUGUCAAUAUAC